RNAcentral lists this ribosomal RNA (459 nucleotides) under uncultured Mesorhizobium sp. RNAcentral describes it as "bacterial SSU rRNA". It matches the Rfam family "Bacterial small subunit ribosomal RNA", at positions 923 to 1379 of the family's 1533-position model. Lineage: Bacteria; Pseudomonadati; Pseudomonadota; Alphaproteobacteria; Hyphomicrobiales; Phyllobacteriaceae. The record is from RNAcentral.
GCACAAGCGGUGGAGCAUGUGGUUUAAUUCGAAGCAACGCGCAGAACCUUACCAGCCCUUGACAUCCCGGUCGCGGGAUCCAGAGAUGGAUCCCUUCAGUUCGGCUGGACCGGUGACAGGUGCUGCAUGACUGUCGUCAGCUCGUGUCGUGAGAUGUUGGGUUAAGUCCCGCAACGAGCGCAACCCUCGCCCUUAGUUGCCAGCAUUCAGUUGGGCACUCUAAGGGGACUGCCGGUGAUAAGCCGAGAGGAAGGUGGGGAUGACGUCAAGUCCUCAUGGCCAUUACGGGCUGGGCUACACACGUGCUACAAUGGUGGUGACGGUGGGCAGCGAGACCGCGAGGUCGAGCUAAUCUCCAAAAGCCAUCUCAGUUCGGAUUGCACUCUGCAACUCGGGUGCAUGAAGUUGGAAUCGCUAGUAAUCGUGGAUCAGCAUGCCACGGUGAAUACGUUCCCGGGC